CUAUCGAAUAAUGGUGGUGGUAGAUGUCCAUGAUCAGCUAGUGGAAACUUUCUUUAGUGAGUCCUCUCAUUUUGAACAGUGGUGUCCUGAGUUACUCCCAGAAAGAGUGAUCCUAUCCAAGACCGGACAUGUAAUAUUGAAAUGGAUGGAAUAUAGAAACUAACUUAGAAUUCUUAAAUAAAAUGGUAGUAAUGAAAUGCAUCCAUUUGCACACUCAAGAGCCCAUUCCUUUUAGCUUUCUGAAGCAACAGCAGCAGUCCCUACCCAAGUCAUCCCACUAGCUGAUUCCUAACAUGUCAUUGCUGAUGUAAUCCCUCAAGCAAGAAACAUAGGAUAGGUUAUGAAUUACAGAGGGCUUACUACAGUGCAUGGAAUUCAGGCUGCUUUUGAUGAAGUGAUGUCAUACUAUGAAUAUCUUCUACCUAUAGGUUAUUAGAACUUCAAGGACCAAUAAAAGCAAGAUAAAGCCAAAUUUAAAGCCAAAAGGAAAGAAGAACCAAGCUCUGUUUUCCAGAGUAACGUGUAGACUUUAGACAAAAUUUUCCACCCAAAUUUGUGCGUCACAGGUCAGGAGAAAAGCCUAUCCCAGUAAAUCAGACAAAGAAAGAAUCAGAACCUACCACACUAUGUAAAAUCAGAGGAGACAGGGACCUCAAAGAACAUCCCCCACACAAUGAACACUGAAGGCUUCCUGAGAAAUAGGCAAAAACUCC
This 713-nucleotide long non-coding RNA is filed under the name Homo sapiens (human). Its description in RNAcentral is "non-protein coding lnc-KLLN-4:1". Lineage: Eukaryota; Metazoa; Chordata; Mammalia; Primates; Hominidae. The record is from RNAcentral.